Molecule: transfer RNA, 72 nt
Organism: Ovis aries (sheep)
Lineage: Eukaryota; Metazoa; Chordata; Mammalia; Artiodactyla; Bovidae
Rfam family: tRNA
About the family: Transfer RNA (tRNA) molecules are approximately 80 nucleotides in length. Their secondary structure includes four short double-helical elements and three loops (D, anti-codon, and T loops).
Source: Rfam
UCCCUGGUGGCUCAGAUGGUAAAGCGUCUGCCUACAAUGCAGGAGACCCAGGUUCAAUCCCUGGUUCAGAAA